Molecule: small RNA, 107 nt
Filed under: Marmota monax (woodchuck)
Lineage: Eukaryota; Metazoa; Chordata; Mammalia; Rodentia; Sciuridae
Source: RNAcentral
GUUGGGUGCAGUGAUGCAUGCCUGUAAUCCCAGUGACUCAGAAGGCUGAGACAGGAGGAUUGCAAGUUUGAGGCCAGCCUCAGCAAUUUAGUGAGACCCUGUCUCAA